CAGCAGCCACGGUAAUACGUAGGGUGCAAGCGUUAAUCGGAAUUACUGGGCGUAAAGCGUGAGCAGGCGGUUAUAUAAGACAGAUGUGAAAUCCCCGGGCUCAACCUGGGAACUGCAUUUGUGACUGUAUAGCUAGAGUACGGCAGAGGGGGAUGGAAUUCCGCGUGUAGCAGUGAAAUGCGUAGAUAUGCGGAGGAACACCGAUGGCGAAGGCAAUCCCCUGGGCCUGUACUGACGCUCAUGCACGAAAGCGUGGGGAGCAAACAGGAUUAGAUACCCCCGUAGUCCCUGUCUCUUAUAC
This 301-nucleotide ribosomal RNA is filed under the name uncultured bacterium. RNAcentral's name for it is "partial 16S ribosomal RNA". It matches the Rfam family "Bacterial small subunit ribosomal RNA", at positions 509 to 807 of the family's 1533-position model. The record is from RNAcentral.